RNAcentral lists this small RNA (127 nucleotides) under Marmota monax (woodchuck). The record is from RNAcentral. Lineage: Eukaryota; Metazoa; Chordata; Mammalia; Rodentia; Sciuridae.
GCUGGGUGUGGUGAUGCAUGCCUGUAAUCCCAGUGGCUCAGAAGGCUGAGGCAGGAGGAUCAUAAGUUCAAAGUCUGCCUCAGCAACUUAGCAAGGUCUUUAGCAACUCAGUGAGACCCUGUCUCUA